RNAcentral lists this ribosomal RNA (117 nucleotides) under Danio rerio (zebrafish). Lineage: Eukaryota; Metazoa; Chordata; Actinopteri; Cypriniformes; Danionidae. The record is from RNAcentral.
UUAUCCAGCCAAAUCACCCUGCAGCCCAAGACCGGUUACUCACUGAAGCUAAGCAAGGCUGAGCCAGUUCAGUACCUGGAUGGAAGACCACAUGGGAAAACUAGGUUGCUGUUGGAA